UCAAGCGAAUAAGAGCUUACGGCGGAUACCUUGGCAUUCAGAAGCGAUGAAGGGCGUGACUACCGACGAAACGCUCCGGGGAGCUGGAAGUAAGCUUCGAUCCGGAGGUUCCCGAAUGAGGAAACUCUAUAUACUACUUGCUGAAUUUAUAGGCAAGAAAGAGCAAACCUGGCGAAUUGAAACAUCUUAGUAGCCAGAGGAAAAGAAAGCAAAAGCGAUUCCCUUAGUAGCGGCGAGCGAAGUGGGAACAGCCUAAACCAACUAGAUACGUCUAGUUGGGGUUGUGGGACAGCAAUAACUAAGAUUAACAAGAGUUAAAAGAAUUAGUUGGAAUACUAAGCCAUAGAUGGUGAAAGCCCAGUAUUUGAAAACUUGAAUUACUUAAGCUGUAUCCCAAGUAGCAUGGGGCACGUGAAAUCCCGUGUGAAUCAGCGAGGACCACCUCGUAAGGCUAAAUAUUCCUGAAUGACCGAUAGUGAAAUAGUACCGUGAGGGAAAGGUGAAAAGAACCCCGGGAGGGGAGUGAAAUAGAACAUGAACCCGUAAGCUUACAAGCAGAGGGAGGUCGACUAAUCGUCUAACCUCGUGCAUGUUGAAGAAUGAGCCGGCGACUUAUAGGUAGUGGCAGGUUAAAGUAAAGAAUACUGAAGCCAAAGUGAAAGCGAGCUUAAAUAGAGCGUUAGUCACUAUUUAUAGACCCGAACCCGGAUGAUCUAGCCAUGGCCAGGGUGAAGCUUAGGUAACACUAAGUGGAGGUCCGAACCGACUGAUGUUGAAAAAUCAGCGGAUGAGUUGUGGCUAGGGGUGAAAUGCCAAUCGAAUCCGGAGCUAGCUGGUUCUCCCCGAAAUGUGUUGAGGCGCAGCGGUUGAUGCUUAAUCUUGGGGGUAAAGCACUGUUUCGGUGCGGGCUGCGAGAGCGGUACCAAAUCGAGGCAAACUCUGAAUACCAAGUGUGUAGUCAACCAGUGAGACAGUGGGGGAUAAGCUUCAUUGUCAAGAGGGAAACAGCCCAGACCACCAGCUAAGGCCCCUAAAUAAUUGCUAAGUGGCAAAGGAGGUGGGAAUGCAUAGACAACCAGGAGGUUUGCUUAGAAGCAGCAACCCUUUAAAGAGUGCGUAAUAGCUCACUGGUCAAGUGAUCCUGCGCCGAAAAUGAAUGGGACUAAGUAAUUUGCCGAAGCUGUGGGAUGUUUAUGCAUCGGUAGGGGAGCGUUCUGUAUUAGUUUGAAGCAUUAGCGAAAGCGGGUGUGGACAAAACAGAAGUGAGAAUGUCGGCUUAAGUAGCGAAAACAUUGGUGAGAAUCCAAUGCCCCGAAAACCUAAGGAUUCCUCCGGAAGGUUCGUCCGCGGAGGGUGAGUCAGGACCUAAGGCGAGGCUGAAAAGCGUAGUCGAUGGACAACAGGUUAAUAUUCCUGUACCAUUUAUUAUUGAUAUCGAGGGACGGAGAAGGCUAAGCUAGCCGGAUGUUGGUUACCGGUUUAAGUAUUAAAGGUGUAGAUGAAUAGUGAAAAUAUUCUGAGCUAAGAUACAAGUACAAAGUGCUAAGGCACUAAAGUAGCUGACGUCAUACUUCCUAGAAAAGCUCGGAAUAUCUUAAAUACUAAAUGCCUGUACCCUAAACCGACACAGGUAGGUAAGUAGAGUAUACUAAGGGGCGCGAGAUAACUCUCUCUAAGGAACUCGGCAAAAUAGCCCCGUAACUUCGGGAGAAGGGGUACCCUUCAAAAGGGUUGCAACAAUCAGGCCCAAGCGACUGUUUAUCAAAAACACAGGUCUCCGCUAAGUCGUAAGACAAUGUAUGGGGGCUGACGCCUGCCCAGUGCCGGAAGGUUAAGGAAGCUGGUUAGCUUUAAAGCGAAGCUAGUAACUGAAGCCCCGGUGAACGGCGGCCGUAACUAUAACGGUCCUAAGGUAGCGAAAUUCCUUGUCGGGUAAGUUCCGACCCGCACGAAAGGCGUAACGAUUUGGGCACUGUCUCGGAGAGAGACUCGGCGAAAUAGACUUGUCUGUGAAGAUGCGGACUACCUGCACCUGGACAGAAAGACCCUAUGG
This 2053-nucleotide ribosomal RNA is filed under the name Pyropia haitanensis. RNAcentral's name for it is "bacterial LSU rRNA". It matches the Rfam family "Bacterial large subunit ribosomal RNA", at positions 3 to 2096 of the family's 2925-position model. The record is from RNAcentral. Lineage: Eukaryota; Rhodophyta; Bangiophyceae; Bangiales; Bangiaceae.